This 504-nucleotide ribosomal RNA is filed under the name uncultured bacterium. Its description in RNAcentral is "partial 16S ribosomal RNA". It matches the Rfam family "Bacterial small subunit ribosomal RNA", at positions 30 to 523 of the family's 1533-position model. The record is from RNAcentral.
AUUGAACGCUGGCGGCAGGCCUAACACAUGCAAGUCGAACGGUAGCACAGAGAGCUUGCUCUCGGGUGACGAGUGGCGGACGGGUGAGUAAUGUCUGGGAAACUGCCCGAUGGAGGGGGAUAACUACUGGAAAUGGUAGCUAAUACCGCAUAACGUCGCAAGACCAAAGUGGGGGACCUUCGGGCCUCACACCAUCGGAUGUGCCCAGAUGGGAUUAGCUAGUUGGUGGGGUAAUGGCUCACCCAGGCGGCGAUCCCUAGCUGGUCUGAGAGGAUGACCAGCCACACUGGAACUGAGACACGGUCCAGACUCCUACGGGAGGCAGCAGUGGGGAAUAUUGCACAAUGGGCGCAAGCCUGAUGCAGCCAUGCCGCGUGUAUGAAGAAGGCCUUCGGGUUGUAAAGUACUUUCAGCGGGGAGGAAGGCGGUGAAGUUAAUAACUUCACCGAUUGACGUUACCCGCAGAAGAAGCACCGGCUAACUCCGUGCCAGCCGCCGCCGUAA